GAUCCAAGUGCAGAAGCAAAGGAAACUUUCCAUGGCUGGUUCUAGGGGCUCGUGGCCACGUCAAUGGCUAGAGUGGGCACAUCGUUUUUCUUGCCCAGGUGUGGUUCCCCUGAGCGCAGCUGCGGGCCAGCUGUGGUUCUAAGCGCUGAGCCUGGGGCAUCCCUCAGCAGGGAAGGGCCAACAAGGACAGAUGGACAAAAGGCGCUACGUGUUCUGGAUGAAGGGAAGGGCGCUGAUGUGAUGGGGCCGGGAGGUCAGGGAGGGCCUGUGAUAGGGCCCCAAGGCUGGAGAGGCAUGGUGGGACAGGUGGCAGGGCCAGCAGGUAGGUUUCCCUGCAGGGGCAACACUGGGGAACCCCACCCACCCACCCAAGAGACAGCCGCUGGGGCUGGGGGGCAUGAGGAAGCGCUGGUCCCAGCGGGCUGUGUCUGAGGCCCCAGGCCCCGCUCCAGGCGUCCCUGGGCAGUGGCAGGAAGUUGGAGGCCCCACAUGAAAGAGGACCAGCUGCCGGUGGGGGCGUCGGGACAGGGACAGGAUUAAUGAGGCACCAGCAGCUCCUGCUGGGCCCAGCUGCCUCGGAAGGUGGCAGCAGGCCAGGGACAUGGGUGGAACUCAGCCCAUGCGCUGGGGAAGGGGCACGUAGGAGGCAGCCCCUGGGGGCUGUGGGAAGCAGUCAGCAGAGCUGCAGGCUGGAGGCUCCACCCCCCCACUCCCUCCUGGCUUCCCUGAGCCUCCAGAACCCCACCCUGACCUCCCUGCCCACCCCUCACCCUAGUGUCAGCCUCCAGCCUUUCCAACUGUCCUAAUGGCAAAUCCAGGCCUGGCCACUUCUGAGCUGUGUGACCUUAGGCAAGUUAUUAACCUCUCUGUGCCUCCGUUUUCUCGCUUGUAAAAUGGACUCUACCGUUGCUCCUUCAUAGGGUUGGGGUAAGGAAUAACAGGACGAACAGCACAGCACCUGUCAGGGAGAUGCUCCCCACGUGUGGGCCCAGGGGCCUCGGCUCUCCGGGUGCUCGCCGCCUCCAGGACAAGCCCGGUUGCUGCCACAGUGCCCGGCCUCGCUGCUGCCGCCGCGGUCCUGCUCCGCGUGGUCCUGCUCGGACCCGGACCCGGACCCGGACCCGGACCCGGACCCGGACCCGAGGGUUUGCAGAGCCCCUGCCCCCUCCCCGCAGGAGCGGCCGGCGCUCGGGUCAGUUCGCAGGGUGGCCACGAGGUGGCGGCAGCGCUGCACGCACCGGGCCUGCAGGGCAGGUGGGGACCGGCCCCCACCACCGAGGCGGCCACCUCCCGGCCCCGACCGCGAGGGUCCAGCUCGGCCCUUCCCGGCCCGUGUGGGGCUGGGGGCGCCAGUCGGGGGGUCCUCCGUGGGUCUGGGCGAGGGACCUCAGCGCCUCUAGUCCCUCCCACCCACUGGGCUUCGGGGACAUACGGGGCAGCACCUAAGAGCCCUGUCCCCGGAGGCUGCAGAGGCGGCCAGCGCCCCCCCCCCGCCCCCAGGGCACAGGGCGCCGGCCCCACGCUUCCAGUGGCCGGGCGUGGGAUCGUGGGGACCCGGUUCGCCCGCGCGUUCACGCCAGCCUGUCCCGCUCCCUCCGGGCGCCCUCCCUGCGGCUCCCCCCAGAGCGGAGCCCGGCCCCACCCCCUUACCCCGGGGAGGGGCCGCCGCCCCGCAGCUGUGCCGCUCGCCUCGCUGGGGUGGCUCCUCCCGGGACCCCGGGGCCGCGCCCCUCCCGCAUCCGCUGACUUCCCGCGGGCGGGGGCGGGGGCGGGG
RNAcentral lists this long non-coding RNA (1774 nucleotides) under Canis lupus dingo (dingo). RNAcentral describes it as "lncRNA (ENSCAFG00020004573.1)". Lineage: Eukaryota; Metazoa; Chordata; Mammalia; Carnivora; Canidae. The record is from RNAcentral.